GUUGCUUCUUAUUGAUGAACUCUCUUAAAUUGAGAUGAGGGAUGUUUAUGUUUUGGAAGCAUAAAUUGAGAUGAAAUGUUGUUUCAUUGCCAGUAUUAAACAGCGUGAUGUGUUUUAUUAUCUAUCUUGCAUCAUGUUACCUGUCUCCUGGUACAUUU
RNAcentral lists this small nucleolar RNA (158 nucleotides) under Macleaya cordata. RNAcentral describes it as "small nucleolar RNA snoR137". It matches the Rfam family "small nucleolar RNA snoR137". Lineage: Eukaryota; Viridiplantae; Streptophyta; Magnoliopsida; Ranunculales; Papaveraceae. The record is from Rfam by way of RNAcentral.